Molecule: microRNA precursor, 97 nt
Filed under: Sorex araneus (European shrew)
Lineage: Eukaryota; Metazoa; Chordata; Mammalia; Eulipotyphla; Soricidae
Description: miRNA (ENSSARG00000019236.1)
Source: RNAcentral
UCUUAGAUGAGUGUCCCGCGGGGCCCGAAGCGUUUACUUUGAAAAAAUUAGAGUGUUCAAAGCAGGCCCCGAGCCCGCCUGGAUACCGCAGCUAGGA